AAGGCUGGGGCGUCUCCAGCCGCCAGGCCCUGGAGCUUUGCGGGUGCAUCAGGGUUCCAGACCGCCCAGGUUUGAACAGCGCUGCCACGCACGUCUGUCAACUUCGGCGAAUGGCUCCUCCUCACUCUCCCCAUCUGCGGCAUGGGCACCAUCAAAGCCCCGGGUGACGCAGCUCCAGGGAGCCUGCAGCAGGCGCCUCCCGGCUGCCCUGACCGCCACGUCCCGGGCUACAGCGGCCACUCUGGGUGCUCAUCACUGGAGGGUGGGAGCCCAGAGUCCUGCUCACAGUCAAGUGUCUUUGUGGUCUGGAGACCCAGAGCUCUCCCAGAAUCGACCUGAAGAAUCUCAUUCUCGGCUCCCCAGGGAGUGCCACUGCCCGUCCCGGUUCCAGAGGCUGCUCUGCUUCCCCGGAGGAAGAGCCCAGUGACCUGAUUUCACCCGAGCCCCAAGGAGGGGCCCGGCAGGGUGAGGAAAGCUUGGGGGAGCUGGAUCGGGUGCCGGCUGCAGGGCCGCAGGCUGGACCCUGCUAGGACAGCCACCAGUGGCGGAACAGCUGAGCCCACACCUGCUUGAAACCAGCCAGGGCAGGUGGCAAAGGGCAGGCUGGACCCUCAGCCUCGGACCUCGCCCAGGGAACCAGGAGACGCCUCACAGGAGUGGCUCGCACCUGCCGCUCUGGGACUCCCUGGACCUCACCCCACUGGGGAGGCUGCAUCACACACAGGCUCCUGCUGCAGCAAAAUACGGCACCUCAAAGAGGUCGCAAGCUGAGAGUUCCCCAGCCUGGUGACCCAGCCCAUGCCGCCCUGACCGCCAGCCCUCAGACAGCCUUGCUUGAACGGCCUCUGCACGUCCCGCAGGCUCUCGUCUCCCUGGGCCAUGCUGAGUGCUCAGCUACCAUACCUGGUGUGGGGCGCAGUGGCCAGUCAGGCCCCACCCAGGUGUGGGACACCUAUGGCUCUUCCUCUUUUGUUCCAGAGCCGUGGCCACAUGGCCACAGGGGAGUAGCACUGGACACAGAGCAGAGCCAGCCACGUCCCCAGGGAGGUGUGCACAGGCCAGAGAGUGCCACGGAAGCAAGAGGGAGGGGCUGGCGGCAACAAGGAAGGGCAGGAGGGGCUGCCAGGAGGAGGAGACAGGAGGGCUCCUGAGAGGAGAUGAGACAGAAAGCACUGUUAGCUGC
Non-coding RNA from Macaca mulatta (Rhesus monkey), 1183 nucleotides. The record is from RefSeq and is a predicted model, not a curated record. Lineage: Eukaryota; Metazoa; Chordata; Mammalia; Primates; Cercopithecidae.